Molecule: long non-coding RNA, 1570 nt
Organism: Papaver somniferum (opium poppy)
Lineage: Eukaryota; Viridiplantae; Streptophyta; Magnoliopsida; Ranunculales; Papaveraceae
Exons: 3
Source: RefSeq, a predicted model, not a curated record
UCUCUAUUCUUCUUUUCUUUCUUCUUUCUUCAUCUUCUCAUUUUCUUUUUCUUCCUCUGCUAUUCUUCUUCUUCUGCGUAUGUAUGAGAAAUUAAAAGGAAGCUUUGUGAUCGGCGGGAGGUGCAUAAGAUCAUGGAGUAGAUGAUAGUGAUGGUGUCUUUGUUUGUUGUUGAUUCAGACUCGAAGGAGGAAUUAAAUUAGAAGUUAGGGUUUAUACAAAAAGCUCAGCGAAUAAUUAAGAGAUGAAACUGGUGUUCUAGGAGCAUGAAUCAAGAUGGUUUUAUGUCUAAUUGAGUGAUAUGAAGUUGUUUCGAUGUAGAAUCCGUGAGUUAGGGUUUGUAAGAAAUUCAGAGAGGCUGUAGAAGAUGAAUUUGAAGCUUUGGAAGAUUAAUUGGAGAUGGGUUUACAUGAAUUAGAGAAUUGAGUGAAGCAGGGUUGUGCUAGCAGUGAAGAUUGAUUCAAUUGAAAAAUUGGGGUUUCUGAAGUGGGUGAAUAGAAGAAUCAAAAGAAAUAGAUGAUGGGUAAGCUUGGUUGGAGGUUAUGGUGAAUCUGAGAUGAAGAAGAACAACAAUUGAAAGAUGAUACUGGGAGUUAGGGUUUCAUAAGAAGGAACUCAGUGAAGUAAUUCAGAGGAUGUAGAACUUGGGUAAGUUGUUAAAUUUCUUUAAUUAUAAUACUAGAAGAAUUGAUGGUUAAAUUGUUGAUUUAAGAUGCUGCCGAGUGAAAUUGAGUUUAAGAUGAUUACAGAGUAUAGGAAUGUGAUGAUAUGAGAAUUAUGAUUAUGAGAAUAAAAUUAAAGAACUAUAAUGAUGAGAUUUGGGGAAGCUGUAGGCUUGAGAGGGUUGUGUAUUAGCUGUGAUUGUUGUUGUUGUGUUGAAUGGCCUGAGUUUGAGAUGUAAUGGCUAAGCAGUGCAUGAACUGGUUGCUAGUGAUGUGUUGUUACUGUGGAGAUGAUGUUACUGUUGUAGUAUUGUGGAGUGCAAAGGAGUUAGAGGUCUAUUGCUGAACUGGUGUUGAUGUUGUUACAGGAAAUGUGUUGGUGGAGUGGUUAUUGAGUUGAAGUGAAUAUUAACUAGUAUUGCAGGCGGAAUGGGAAAGAGAAGUUGAGGUGGUGUAAUGGAGAUAUUGAAGUAUACUGAGAUGUUUUGAAUCUGGUUGUGUUGCUGACAUUACAUGGAGGUUUAGAAAAUAUAAUGUUGAGUUAUGAUGUGUGAGUCGCAGUUAAAGCUUAGAUGAGUGGAUUGAAUUGGUGAUGUUAGUGUUUGCUGUAAAAGCUUGGAACUGCAAUUGCAGUUAGUCUAUAUUAACAACGAUCGAUUCAAAUGAUGAACCAGUGGAUCGUGGAUCUCGAGGUAGGCUUGGCUUGUCAUCAAAAGGUUUCAGAGACAGAUCAGAGUCGCGCAGCGAAAGCUUCGAGGAAUUAAUCCGAAAUAGUUAUCUUCUGUUAUGUAUAUUAUGUUGUAUAUUCUGUUUUGAAAACCAAAUGACUAUUGUAUAUAUAUAAUUUGAGAGUAGUGCUUGUAUAUAUAUAUUUCAGAGCAGGGAUAGUUUUUGGGUUAAGUUUUUGUAA